UAUGAAUGGGAGUGAAGUAUUAUGCUAAACCAGGAAGGAUAGGGAAUAUUAGCAUGGCCCCUGUAGAAUGAUGACACACAAAUUGGUGAAGGAUUCAUAUUUUUA
Mesocricetus auratus (golden hamster) is the source of this 105-nucleotide non-coding RNA. NCBI's taxonomy places the organism in Eukaryota, Metazoa, Chordata, Mammalia, Rodentia, Cricetidae. The record is from Rfam.